Molecule: unclassified non-coding RNA, 339 nt
Filed under: soil metagenome
Description: partial contains 5.8S ribosomal RNA, internal transcribed spacer 2, and large subunit ribosomal RNA
Rfam family: 5.8S ribosomal RNA (bases 1-120)
Source: RNAcentral
GAUGAAGAACGCAGCAAAAUGCGAUAAGUAGUGUGAAUUGCAGAAUUCAGUGAAUCAUCGAAUCUUUGAACGCACAUUGCGCCCGGUAGUAUUCUGCCGGGCAUGCCUGUUCGAGCGUCAUUUCAACCAUCAAGCCCCAGCGCUUGUGUUGGGGGCCUGCGGCUGCCGCAGCCCCCUAAAAGCAGUGGCGGGCUCGCUAUCACACCGAGUGCAGUAGUUCAUCUUCUCUCCGGUCUUGUGAGGCGGGUUCCGGCCGUGAAACACCCCACUACAUUUCAAGGUUGACCUCGGAUCAGGUAGGAAUACCCGCUGAACUUAAGCAUAUCAAUAAGCGGAGGA